UCCCCCCCCCAUGGCCUCCAUGGCGCUGGGGGACCCCCGUGCACGGGGGCGACCGCGUUACCCCCCCGCCGGCGGUACCUCCGAUGGUACUUCCCCGGGGCGGCGUGCGGCGGUACCUGGGCUCCAGGGCGAGCGUUUGGGGGUGCUCCUGGAGAGGGGUGCCGGGGGGGCUCCUUCCCGGGGUGGUGCUCGGCGGUACUCCUCCUCGGGGGUGGUGCUUGGGCGGUACCUGGGCGGUACUUGGGCGGUACCUGGGUGGUACUCGGGCGGUACUCCUCCUCGGGGGUGGUACUUGGGUGGUACCUGGGCGGUACUUGGGUGGUACCUGGGCGGUACUCCUCCUUGGGGGUGGUAUUCAGGCGGUACUCCUCCUCGGGGGCGGUACUUGGGUGGUACUUGGGCAGUACCCCUCCCUAGGGGUGGUACUUGGGUGGUACCUCUCCUCGGGGGUGGUAUUUGGGUGGUACUCGGGUGGUACUCCUCCCCGGGGGUGGUACUUGGGUGGUACCACUCCUCGGGGGUGGUACUCGGGCGGUGCCCCUCCUCGUGCCUGGCACUUCCCGGCACGCCGCGGUACCCUCCUCGGGGCGGUACCGGGGCACUCGGGCGGUGCCCCUCAGCAGAGGCGGCAUUUCGCGGUACUUCCCGUGGGGGUGGUACUCUGCGGUACCCCGGGGGGGGUAACAACUGUGGUACCCUUUGGGGGGUACUUGGCGGUACUCCUCCCCUGCGGUGGUACUCUGGUACUCCGGGGGUGCCACUCUGCGGUACUCCUCCUCAGGGGUGUUGCUCUGGCGCUCCUGGGGGUGUUGCUCCGUGGUACCCCGCCUCAGGGCUGUUACUCGUGGUACCCCUCCUCGGGGAUGGUACCCUGGACCCCUGUGGGGUGUUGCUCCGUGGUGCUCCUGGGGGGUGUUACGCUGUGGUACCCGCCCUCAGGGGUGUUACUCCAUGGUACUUUGCCUCGUGGAUGGUACUCUGGCUCUCUUGUGGGGUGUUACACCGUGGUACUUCUCCUGGGGGGGGUGUUACCCCAUGGUACCCCUUUUCUGGAGGAGGCUGUUACCCCGUGGUACUCCUCCUCCUCCUCCUCCUCCUCAGGGCUCUUAUCCCGUCGUACUCUUCCUCGAGAGGAGGGUGUUACCCGGUGGUACUCCUCCUGGGGGGGGUGUUACCCCAUGGUACCCCUCCUGGAGGUGUUGUUACCCCACGGUACCCCUCCUGGGGGGGUGUUACCCGGUGGUACCCCUCCUGGGGGGGGGUGUUACCCCGUGGUACCCCUCCUGGAGGUGUUGUUACCCCACGGCACCCCUCUUGGAGGUGUUACCCGGUGGUACCCCUCCUGGGGGGGUGUUAC
Molecule: long non-coding RNA, 1357 nt
Filed under: Dromaius novaehollandiae (emu)
Lineage: Eukaryota; Metazoa; Chordata; Aves; Casuariiformes; Dromaiidae
Description: lncRNA (ENSDNVG00000008592.1)
Source: RNAcentral